RNAcentral lists this ribosomal RNA (403 nucleotides) under bacterium. RNAcentral describes it as "partial 16S ribosomal RNA". It matches the Rfam family "Bacterial small subunit ribosomal RNA", at positions 355 to 776 of the family's 1533-position model. The record is from RNAcentral.
UGGGGAAUAUUGCACAAUGGGGGAAACCCUGAUGCAGCGACGCCGCGUGAACGAAGAAGGUAUUCGUAUCGUAAAGUUCUGUCCUAUGGGAAGAUAAUGACAGUACCAUAGAAGAAAGCUCCGGCUCAAUACGUGCCAGCAGCCGCGGUAAUACGUAUGGAGCGAGCGUUGUCCGGAAUUAUUGGGCGGAAAGGGUACGCAGGCGGUUUAAUAAGUCGAAUGUUAAAGAUCGGGGCUCAACCCCGUAAAGCAUUGGAAACUGAUAAACUUGAGUAGUGGAGAGGAAAGUGGAAUUCCUAGUGUAGUGGUGAAAUACGUAGAUAUUAGGAGGAAUACCAGUAGCGAAGGCGACUUUCUGGACACAAACUGACGCUGAGGUACGAAAGCGUGGGGAGCAAACAGG